AUUGAACGCUUUCUUCCUUCCUAACACAUGCAAGUCGAGCGGAUGAAGGGAGCUUGCUCCUGGAUUCAGCGGCGGACGGGUGAGUAAUGCCUAGGAAUCUGCCUGGUAGUGGGGGAUAACGUCCGGAAACGGGCGCUAAUACCGCAUACGUCCUGAGGGAGAAAGUGGGGGAUCUUCGGACCUCACGCUAUCAGAUGAGCCUAGGUCGGAUUAGCUAGUUGGUGGGGUAAAGGCCUACCAAGGCGACGAUCCGUAACUGGUCUGAAAGGAUGAUCAGUCACACUGGAACUGAGACACGGUCCAGACUCCUACGGGAGGCAGCAGUGGGGAAUAUUGGACAAUGGGCGAAAGCCUGAUCCAGCCAUGCCGCGUGUGUGAAGAAGGUCUUCGGAUUGUAAAGCACUUUAAGUUGGGAGGAAGGGCAGUAAGUUAAUACCUUGCUGUUUUGACGUUACCAACAGAAUAAGCACAGGCUAACUUCGUG
RNAcentral lists this ribosomal RNA (484 nucleotides) under uncultured bacterium. Its description in RNAcentral is "partial 16S ribosomal RNA". It matches the Rfam family "Bacterial small subunit ribosomal RNA", at positions 30 to 507 of the family's 1533-position model. The record is from RNAcentral.